CAGACGUAUGUUCUUUCUAUCUUUCUGUCAAAACGGUUAUUACAAUCACACAAGGCCACUAAUUUUUCUGACAUCAGAAGAUACCUUUAACGAACAAAUUAAGCAAUAACAUCCAAAAUUACAGGGAAAGAUUUCAAAUUUUCAGUUACUUGCAAGGAAUCUCCAAGCCAAACAAGCCACCCCCUUUUUCAAAUGAUUUCAUCACUUUCCCUCUACUCCACACAGAGCCAACAUUAUAAGCAGCCCCAAGAAUGUCAAACACAUUGCCAUAAUCUGCAAAUACUUUGAGAAACAUUUCAUACAAUGGAGAUCAAGGUAGCAGAGAAAGAAGAAGGAAGGAGAAUCGCCACGUCGUCCAGCUGUAAUGAAAGCAACAUGAUCAAUAAGGAAGAAGAAGAAGAAGAAAACGAAAUUACCCUGCCUCUCCUGCAGCCAGAAGUUCUUCCCAACACGGAAAGCAAAAGCAUGG
Molecule: long non-coding RNA, 469 nt
Filed under: Linum usitatissimum (flax)
Lineage: Eukaryota; Viridiplantae; Streptophyta; Magnoliopsida; Malpighiales; Linaceae
Description: long non-coding RNA (LUSI_LNC007872)
Source: RNAcentral